AAGCCUGAUCCAGCCAUGCCGCGUGCAGGAUGAAGGCCUUCGGGUUGUAAACUGCUUUUGUACGGAACGAAAAGACUCUGGUUAAUACCUGGGGUCCAUGACGGUACCGUAAGAAUAAGCACCGGCUAACUACGUGCCAGCAGCCGCGGUAAUACGUAGGUGGCAAGCGUUGUCCGGAUUUACUGGGCGUAAAGGAUGCGUAGGCGGAUAUUUAAGUGAGAUGUGAAAUACCCGGGCUCAACUUGGGUGCUGCAUUUCAAACUGGAUAUCUAGAGUGCAGGAGAGAAAAGUGGAAUUCCUAGUGUAGCGGUGAAAUGCGUAGAGAUUAGGAAGAACAUCAGUGGCGAAGGCGACUUUCUGGACUGUAACUGACGCUGAGGCAUGAAAGCGUGGGGAGCAAACA
Molecule: ribosomal RNA, 403 nt
Filed under: uncultured bacterium
Lineage: Bacteria
Description: bacterial SSU rRNA
Rfam family: Bacterial small subunit ribosomal RNA
Source: RNAcentral